This 73-nucleotide transfer RNA is filed under the name Aedes aegypti (yellow fever mosquito). It matches the Rfam family "tRNA". From Rfam's summary of the family: Transfer RNA (tRNA) molecules are approximately 80 nucleotides in length. Lineage: Eukaryota; Metazoa; Arthropoda; Insecta; Diptera; Culicidae. The record is from Rfam by way of RNAcentral.
CAUCUCGUGGCGUAGUUGGUAAUGCGCCUGUCUAGUGAAUUGGGUGUUGUGAGUUUAAUUCUCACGGAGAAGA